RNAcentral lists this ribosomal RNA (253 nucleotides) under uncultured bacterium. RNAcentral's name for it is "partial 16S ribosomal RNA". It matches the Rfam family "Bacterial small subunit ribosomal RNA", at positions 524 to 776 of the family's 1533-position model. The record is from RNAcentral.
AACGUAGGUACCGAGCGUUAUCCGGAUUUACUGGGCGUAAAGCGCGUUCAGGCGGUUUGGCAAGUCGGGCAUGAAAUCUCUCGGCUCAACCGGGAGAGGUUGUCCGAUACUGCUGGACUUGAGGGCAGUAGAGGGUGGUGGAAUUCCACGUGUAGCAGUGAAAUGCGUAGAGAUGUGGAGGAACACCGAUGGCGAAGGCAGCCUCCUGGGCCAGCACUGACGCUCAUGCACGAAAGCGUGGGGAGCAAACAGG